Molecule: ribosomal RNA, 301 nt
Filed under: uncultured bacterium
Lineage: Bacteria
Description: partial 16S ribosomal RNA
Rfam family: Bacterial small subunit ribosomal RNA
Source: RNAcentral
CAGCGCCGCGGGAAUACGAAGGGUGCAAGCGUUAAUCGGAAUUACUGGGCGUAAAGCGUGCGUAGGCGGUGAGUUAAGUCUGCUGUGAAAUCCCCGGGCUCAACCUGGGAAUGGCAGUGGAUACUGGCUCGCUAGAGUGUGUCAGAGGAUGGUGGAAUUCCCGGUGUAGCGGUGAAAUGCGUAGAGAUCGGGAGGAACAUCAGUGGCGAAGGCGGCCAUCUGGGACAACACUGACGCUGAGGCACGAAAGCGUGGGGAGCAAACAGGAUUAGAUACCCCAGUAGUCCCUGUCUCUUAUACC